GCGUAAAGCGCACGCAGGCGGUUUGUUAAGUCAGAUGUGAAAUCCCCGGGCUCAACCUGGGAACUGCAUCUGAUACUGGCAAGCUUGAGUCUCGUAGAGGGGGGUAGAAUUCCAGGUGUAGCGGUGAAAUGCGUAGAGAUCUGGAGGAAUACCGGUGGCGAAGGCGGCCCCCUGGACGAAGACUGACGCUCAGGUGCGAAAGCGUGGGGAGCAAACAGGAUUAGAUACCCUGGUAGUCCACGCCGUAAACGAUGUCGACUUGGAGGUUGUGCCCUUGAGGCGUGGCUUCCGGAGCUAACGCGUUAAGUCGACCGCCUGGGGAGUACGGCCGCAAGGUUAAAACUCAAAUGAAUUGACGGGGGCCCGCACAAGCGGUGGAGCAUGUGGUUUAAUUCGAUGCAACGCGAAGAACC
This 413-nucleotide ribosomal RNA is filed under the name Escherichia coli. RNAcentral's name for it is "bacterial SSU rRNA". It matches the Rfam family "Bacterial small subunit ribosomal RNA", at positions 558 to 970 of the family's 1533-position model. The record is from RNAcentral. Lineage: Bacteria; Pseudomonadati; Pseudomonadota; Gammaproteobacteria; Enterobacterales; Enterobacteriaceae.